AGUGAACGCUGGCGGUAGGCCUAACACGUGCAAGUCGAACGGCAGCACAGUAAGAGCUUGCUCUUACGGGUGGCGAGUGGCGGACGGGUGAGGAAUACAUCGGAAUCUACUUUUUCGUGGGGGAUAACGUAGGGAAACUUACGCUAAUACCGCAUACGACCUACGGGUGAAAGCAGGGGAUCUUCGGACCUUGCGCGAUUGAAUGAGCCGAUGUCGGAUUAGCUAGUUGGCGGGGUAAGGGCCCACCAAGGCGACGAUCCGUAGCUGGUCUGAGAGGAUGAUCAGCCACACUGGAACUGAGACACGGUCCAGACUCCUACGGGAGGCAGCAGUGGGGAAUAUUGGACAAUGGGCGCAAGCCUGAUCCAGCCAUACCGCGUGGGUGAAGAAGGCCUUCGGGUUGUAAAGCCCUUUUGUUGGGAAAGAAGAGCAGCAGGUUAAUACCCCGCUGUUCUGACGGUACCCAAAGAAUAAGCACCGGCUAACUUCGUG
This 492-nucleotide ribosomal RNA is filed under the name uncultured bacterium. RNAcentral's name for it is "partial 16S ribosomal RNA". It matches the Rfam family "Bacterial small subunit ribosomal RNA", at positions 29 to 507 of the family's 1533-position model. The record is from RNAcentral.